GAUGAAGAACGUAGCGAAAUGCGAUAAGUAAUGUGAAUUGCAGAAUUCAGUGAAUCAUCGAAUCUUUGAACGCACAUUGCGCCCGCCAGUAUUCUGGCGGGCAUGCCUGAUCGAGCGUCAUUUCAACCAUCAAGCCCCCGGGCCUGUGUUGGGGACCUGCGGCUGCCCGCAGGCCCCGAAAACCAGUGGCGGGCUCGCUGUCACCCCGAGCGUAGUAGCAACACCUCGCCCAGGGAGUGCCGCGGGCACCGGCCGUAAAACCUCCUCUCGCCCCCCCCCGCGGGAGGGAACACCCCAAAGGUUGACCUCGGAUCAGGUAGGAAGACCCGCUGAACUUAAGCAUAUCAAUAAGCGGAGGA
RNAcentral lists this unclassified non-coding RNA (359 nucleotides) under soil metagenome. Its description in RNAcentral is "partial contains 5.8S ribosomal RNA, internal transcribed spacer 2, and large subunit ribosomal RNA". The stretch from base 1 to 120 matches the Rfam family "5.8S ribosomal RNA", at positions 35 to 154 of the family's 154-position model. The record is from RNAcentral.